This 1530-nucleotide long non-coding RNA is filed under the name Homo sapiens (human). RNAcentral describes it as "MRPS9 antisense RNA 2". The record is from RNAcentral. Lineage: Eukaryota; Metazoa; Chordata; Mammalia; Primates; Hominidae.
GGUGUCGACCUCAAGAAGGAUCGCUGGUGGGUCGUUUUUCUCGGCCUCUUUCUCUUCACGUCCUGAACUCAGUCUCUUCGGGACUCACUUCCACGCUCUCCUAGUCUCUUUGGCACUCACAUCCACGUGGCGCUUUAGCCAGCCCUUCCUUCCCAGCCCCCUUGCUGCACCUCGAGCCGGCUCUUCCUCCACCUGGGCAGGGCGGCCGGGGCCCCAGAUGCGCUCCAAGCCUUGAUUCCUGUCUGCCUUAUCCUAGUAGGGGUUUUCCCCUCCUCUAACUUUCCACGUUCGUCUGGUUCCAAGUCAAGACUCUCCUGCAGCAACUGUCAAGCCCCUCUCGGUUCCCUGGCACUCUCCUGCGUUGUUUCUUAACUGUAUAAUGCACAGGAUAAACCUUAAACCGGUGAUUGGCGUCUCUUUCCAUUCAAAAUUAGAGAAAAUACCAAAGCUCAGCAGUGAUCUUCCUUCUAGAGGCUUGUUGGAACUCCAAACACAUACCCCUGACAGAUACAACAGGGAUUAAUGAGCCAUGACCAGAAGUUUGAUUUUUCUGUCGAGUGCUCCCAUCCGUCUUUAAUAAACAGAAGAACAACAUAAACUCCAUUGCCUGCUUUCCACUGCUGAAACUGAGCUGGCUGUUCCUGGUACCAUGUGUGUUGAGCUGAGUUAUGAUUCUAAAUGACUCGACAAACGCUUUUACAAGCCCCUUUGGUCUGCUACUCUGGUGACUGGCUUUGCUCUCCAAGUUCCAUUUCUUUGCCUCUGUUUAACGUGGGCAGCUCAGUGCUUUGCCAGUGGAAACCAUCAAAUGUAAUAUCACAUUUACAACUAAAUGACUUCAAUUUAGUGUCACUGGUACACUAUCUGUGGUGUAAAACUGCCAAAAUACCCACUAUUUUCCCUUUAAGCCAUGCUGUGUGCUUUUUUGCAGAAGGCUGUCUCCUGCGAGGACCAGAAGUUGAGCCAAGGCACAUGGAACUUACAAUAGCAGAUGGUAAGAACCAGGGCAGAAGGAGAACUCCUGAAGCCUCCGAAGGAAGGAAAUCAUUACAGGGCCCUACAGAAGUAGGUCAUGUGCUACAGCUGCUCAUAGUUUAAGAGGAAGAAACAUGGGAUCUCAAACCUGGAACACGACUCUUUCAAAAUGCUUGUGAGCAACCCAAGAAAAACAUCCUCCUGAGGCUUAUCUAAUAACCAUGAUCUCUAAUCGUCUCAAUGUGUGCUCAUGUUUCCUUAGGAGUUUGCACCCACUUCUCAGAGCUAACGAGAUGCCGAAACAGAACACAGAAAAAAGUAAUGAAGGAGAUUUAAUAGUUUGUGUUAAAGCUAAUAUGGUCCAUUAGGGGCUGUCAUUUUUAUAAACAGUGAGGAUACGUUACCCUCUUCUUUGGUGUAAAGUCAUUCCGUGCAGGACCUGUAAACAUUCAGUAAUGAUCUGUAGAACAUGCAUGAACGACAAUUAAAGCACCACUUGAAAAGUCUGUUUUCCUCACAUAUUUGUUUUCUUGCUAAAUAAACUUGUAAAGUUCA